AGUGGUAGUCUGGAUUUAUGGUCUGGGGUUUUAGACUGUGUGGAGGGGAGUGGUAGUCUGGACUUAUGGUCUGGGGUUUUAGACUCGGUGUGAAGUAGAGGGGAGUGGUAGUCUGGGGUUUUAGACUCUGUGUGGAGGGGAGUGGUAGUCUGGACUUAUGGUCUGGGGUUUUAGACUCUGUGUGGAGUAGAGGGGAGUGUUAGUCUGGACUUAAGGUCCAGGGUUUUAGACUCUGUGUGGAGGGGAGUGUUAGUCUGGACUUAAGGUCCAGGGUUUUAGACUCGGUGUGGAGUAGAGCAGCUGAACUGUGAGAGUUCAGGUCUGGGGUUUUAGACUCGGUGUGGAGUAGAGCAGCUGAACUGUGAGAGUUCAGGUCUGGGGUUUUAGACUCGGUGUGGAGUAGAGCAGCUGAACUGUGAGAGUUCAGGUAUGGGGUUUUAGACUCGGUGUGGAGUAGAGCAGCUGAACUGUGAGAGUUCAGGUAUGGGGUUUUAGACUCGGUGUGGAGUAGAGCAGCUGAACUGUGAGUUCAGGUCUGGGGUUUUAGACUCGGUGUGGAGUAGAGCAGCUGAACUGUGAGACUUAAGGUCUGGGGUUUUAGACUCGGUGUGGAGUAGAGCAGCUGAACUGUGAGACUUAAGGUCUGGGGUUUUAGACUCGGUGUGGAGUAGAGCAGCUGAACUGUGAGAGUUCAGGUCUGGGGUUUUAGACUCGGUGUGGAGUAGAGCAGCUGAACUGUGAGAGUUCAGGUCUGGGGUUUUAGACUCGGUGUGGAGUAGAGCAGCUGAACUGUGAGAGUUCAGGUCUGGGGUUUUAGACUCGGUGUGGAGGGGAGUGGUAGUCUGGACUGUGAGAGUUCAGGUCUGGGGUUUUAGACUCGGUGUGGAGUAGAGCAGCUGAACUGUGAGAGUUCAGGUCUGGGGUUUUAGACUCGGUGUGGAGUAGAGCAGCUGAACUGUGAGAGUUCAGGUCUGGGGUUUUAGACUCGGUGUGGAGUAGAGCAGCUGAACUGUGAGAGUUCAGGUCUGGGGUUUUAGACUCGGUGUGGAGUAGAGCAGCUGAACUGUGAGAGUUCAGGUCUGGGGUUUUAGACUCUGUGUGGAGUAGAGCAGCUGAACUGUGAGUGUUCAGGUCUGGGGUUUUAGACUCGGUGUGGAGUAGAGCAGCUGAACUGUGAGAGUUCAGGUCUGGGGUUUUAGACUCGGUGUGGAGUAGAGCAGCUGAACUGUGAGAGUUCAGGUCUGGGGUUUUAGACUCGGUGUGGAGUAGAGCAGCUGAACUGUGAGAGUUCAGGUCUGGGGUUUUAGACUCGGUGUGGAGUAGAGCAGCUGAACUGUGAGAGUUCAGGUCUGGGGUUUUAGACUCUGUGUGGAGUAGAGCAGCUGAACUGUGAGAUUUCAGGUGUGGGGUUUUAGACUCGGUGUGGAGUAGAGCAGCUGAACUGUGAGAGUUCAGGUCUGGGGUUUUAGACUCGGUGUGGAGUAGAGCAGCUGAACUGUGAGAGUUCAGGUCUGGGGUUUUAGACUCUGUGUGGAGUAGAGCAGCUGAACUGUGAGAGUUCAGGUCUGGGGUUUUAGACUCUGUGUGGAGUAGAGCAGCUGAACUGUGAGAGUUCAGGUCUGGGGUUUUAGACUCGGUGUGGAGUAGAGGGGAGUGGUAGUCUGGACUUAUGGUCUGGGGUUUUAGACUCUGUGUGGAGUAGAGGGGAGUGGUAGUCUGGAUUUAAGGUCUGGGGUUUUAGACUCGGUGUGGAGUAGAGGGGAGUGGUAGUCUGGACUUAUGGUCUGGGGUUUUAGACUCUGUGUGGAGUAGAGGGGAGUGGUAGUCUGGACUUAUGGUCUGGGGUUUUAGACUCUGUGUGGAGUAGAGGGGAGUGGUAGUCUGGAUUUAAGGUCUGGGGUUUUAGACUCGGUGUGGAGUAGAGGGGAGUGGUAGUCUGGACUUAUGGUCUGGGGUUUUAGACUCUGUGUGGAGUAGAGGGGAGUGGUAGUCUGGACUUAUGGUCUGGGGUUUUAGACUCUGUGUGGAGUAGAGGGGAGUGGUAGUCUGGAUUUAAGGUCUGGGGUUUUAGACUCGGUGUGGAGUAGAGGGGAGUGGUAGUCUGGAUUUAUGGUCUGGGGUUUUAGACUGUGGAGGGGAGUGGUAGUCUGGACUUAUGGUCUGGGGUUUUAGACUCGGUGUGAAGUAGAGGGGAGUGGUAGUCUGGAUUUAAGGUCUGGGGUUUUAGACUCGGUGUGGAGUAGAGGGGAGUGGUAGUCUGGAUUUAUGGUCUGGGGUUUUAGACUGUGUGGAGGGGAGUGGUAGUCUGGACUUAUGGUCUGGGGUUUUAGACUCGGUGUGAAGUAGAGGGGAGUGGUAGUCUGGGGUUUUAGACUCUGUGUGGAGGGGAGUGGUAGUCUGGACUUAUGGUCUGGGGUUUUAGACUCUGUGUGGAGGGGAGUGUUAGUCUGGACUUAAGGUCCAGGGUUUUAGACUCGGUGUGGAGUAGAGCAGCUGAACUGUGAGAGUUCAGGUCUGGGGUUUUAGACUCGGUGUGGAGUAGAGCAGCUGAACUGUGAGAGUUCAGGUCUGGGGUUUUAGACUCGGUGUGGAGUAGAGCAGCUGAACUGUGAGAGUUCAGGUAUGGGGUUUUAGACUCGGUGUGGAGUAGAGCAGCUGAACUGUGAGAGUUCAGGUAUGGGGUUUUAGACUCGGUGUGGAGUAGAGCAGCUGAACUGUGAGAGUUCAGGUCUGGGGUUUUAGACUCGGUGUGGAGUAGAGCAGCUGAACUGUGAGACUUAAGGUCUGGGGUUUUAGACUCGGUGUGGAGUAGAGCAGCUGAACUGUGAGAGUUCAGGUCUGGGGUUUUAGACUCGGUGUGGAGUAGAGCAGCUGAACUGUGAGAGUUCAGGUCUGGGGUUUUAGACUCGGUGUGGAGUAGAGCAGCUGAACUGUGAGAGUUCAGGUCUGGGGUUUUAGACUCGGUGUGGAGGGGAGUGGUAGUCUGGACUGUGAGAGUUCAGGUCUGGGGUUUUAGACUCGGUGUGGAGUAGAGCAGCUGAACUGUGAGAGUUCAGGUCUGGGGUUUUAGACUCGGUGUGGAGUAGAGCAGCUGAACUGUGAGAGUUCAGGUCUGGGGUUUUAGACUCGGUGUGGAGUAGAGCAGCUGAACUGUGAGAGUUCAGGUCUGGGGUUUUAGACUCGGUGUGGAGUAGAGCAGCUGAACUGUGAGAGUUCAGGUCUGGGGUUUUAGACUCUGUGUGGAGUAGAGCAGCUGAACUGUGAGUGUUCAGGUCUGGGGUUUUAGACUCGGUGUGGAGUAGAGCAGCUGAACUGUGAGAGUUCAGGUCUGGGGUUUUAGACUCGGUGUGGAGUAGAGCAGCUGAACUGUGAGAGUUCAGGUCUGGGGUUUUAGACUCGGUGUGGAGUAGAGCAGCUGAACUGUGAGAGUUCAGGUCUGGGGUUUUAGACUCGGUGUGGAGUAGAGCAGCUGAACUGUGAGAGUUCAGGUCUGGGGUUUUAGACUCUGUGUGGAGUAGAGCAGCUGAACUGUGAGAUUUCAGGUGUGGGGUUUUAGACUCGGUGUGGAGUAGAGCAGCUGAACUGUGAGAGUUCAGGUCUGGGGUUUUAGACUCGGUGUGGAGUAGAGCAGCUGAACUGUGAGAGUUCAGGUCUGGGGUUUUAGACUCUGUGUGGAGUAGAGCAGCUGAACUGUGAGAGUUCAGGUCUGGGGUUUUAGACUCUGUGUGGAGUAGAGCAGCUGAACUGUGAGAGUUCAGGUCUGGGGUUUUAGACUCGGUGUGGAGUAGAGGGGAGUGGUAGUCUGGACUUAUGGUCUGGGGUUUUAGACUCUGUGUGGAGUAGAGGGGAGUGGUAGUCUGGAUUUAAGGUCUGGGGUUUUAGACUCGGUGUGGAGUAGAGGGGAGUGGUAGUCUGGACUUAUGGUCUGGGGUUUUAGACUCUGUGUGGAGUA
Oncorhynchus keta (chum salmon) is the source of this 3952-nucleotide long non-coding RNA. RefSeq lists it as uncharacterized. NCBI's taxonomy places the organism in Eukaryota, Metazoa, Chordata, Actinopteri, Salmoniformes, Salmonidae. The record is from RefSeq and is a predicted model, not a curated record. The transcript is spliced from 3 exons.